RNAcentral lists this long non-coding RNA (203 nucleotides) under Hordeum vulgare. Its description in RNAcentral is "long non-coding RNA (HVUL_LNC016730)". Lineage: Eukaryota; Viridiplantae; Streptophyta; Magnoliopsida; Poales; Poaceae. The record is from RNAcentral.
AUGCUCUGGGCGCCCCACUACCGCUUUUUCUUUAUCGUUGGGUGAUUCAUCCAACGGUAGAAUGAAGAAGGAUAAAGGGAAGAAGGUGGCAAAGCGUGAUAUUCCACUCAUGUGGAUGUAUUCUAUGAAAGUCUCGGUUGGUCACCAGCAUGGAUGCUAUACGUGGAACCGAGCAAAAGGGCUCAAAACUAUGGGAAAAGAUC